UCGCGGCUUAUCACCGGCAGUCUUCCUAGAGUCCCCGCCAUUACGCGCUGGCAACUAAGAACAGGGGUUGCGCUCGUUGCGCCACUUAAGGCAACACCUCACGGCACGAGCUGACGACAGCCAUGCACCACCUGUGCGGGCCCCGUAGGGCGCCGUAUUUCUACGGAUUUCCAGUGCAUGUCAAGCCCUGGUAAGGUUCUUCGCGUCGCAUCGAAUUAAACCACAUGCUCCGCUGCUUGUGCGGGCCCCCGUCAAUUUCUUUGAGUUUUAGCCUUGCGGCCGUACUCCCCAGGCGGGAUGCUUAAAGCGUUAGCUACGGCACAGAGGGGGUCGACACCCCCCACACCUAGCAUCCACCGUUUAGGGCGUGGACUAC
This 376-nucleotide unclassified non-coding RNA is filed under the name uncultured bacterium. Its description in RNAcentral is "contains 16S-23S intergenic spacer region". The record is from RNAcentral.